Molecule: ribosomal RNA, 497 nt
Filed under: uncultured bacterium
Lineage: Bacteria
Description: partial 16S ribosomal RNA
Rfam family: Bacterial small subunit ribosomal RNA
Source: RNAcentral
GAUGAACGCUGGCGGCGUGCCUAAUACAUGCAAGUCGAGCGAACAGACGAGGAGCUUGCUCCUCUGACGUUAGCGGCGGACGGGUGAGUAACACGUGGAUAACCUACCUAUAAGACUGGGUUAACUUCGGGAAACCGGAGCUAAUACCGGAUAAUAUAUUGAACCGCAUGGUUCAAUAGUGAAAGACGGUUUUGCUGUCACUUAUAGAUGGAUCCGCGCCGCAUUAGCUAGUUGGUAAGGUAACGGCUUACCAAGGCAACGAUGCGUAGCCGACCUGAGAGGGUGAUCGGCCACACUGGAACUGAGACACGGUCCAGACUCCUACGGGAGGCAGCAGUAGGGAAUCUUCCGCAAUGGGCGAAAGCCUGACGGAGCAACGCCGCGUGAGUGAUGAAGGUCUUCGGAUCGUAAAACUCUGUUAUUAGGGAAGAACAAAUGUGUAAGUAACUAUGCACGUCUUGACGGCACCUAAUCAGAAAGCCACGGCUAACUACGUG